Molecule: ribosomal RNA, 478 nt
Filed under: uncultured bacterium
Lineage: Bacteria
Description: partial 16S ribosomal RNA
Rfam family: Bacterial small subunit ribosomal RNA
Source: RNAcentral
GACGAACGCUGGCGGCGUGCCUAACACAUGCAAGUCGAACGGUAAGGCCCUUCGGGGUACACGAGUGGCGAACGGGUGAGUAACACGUGGGUGAUCUGCCCUGCACUUCGGGAUAAGCCUGGGAAACUGGGUCUAAUACCGGAUAGGACCACUGCCUGCAUGGGUGGUGGUGGAAAGCUUUUGCGGUGUGGGAUGGGCCCGCGGCCUAUCAACUUGUUGGUGGGGUGAUGGCCUACCAAGGCGACGACGGGUAGCCGGCCUGAGAGGGUGACCGGCCACACUGGGACUGAGAUACGGCCCAGACUCCUACGGGAGGCAGCAGUGGGGAAUAUUGCACAAUGGGCGCAAGCCUGAUGCAGCGGCGCCGCGUGAGGGAUGGCGGCCUUCGGGUUGUAAACCUCUUUCAGCACCGACGAAGCGCAAGUGACGGUAGGUGCAGAAGAAGGACCGGCCAACUACGUGCCAGCCGCCGCUGUAA